RNAcentral lists this microRNA precursor (96 nucleotides) under Podarcis lilfordi (Lilford's wall lizard). Lineage: Eukaryota; Metazoa; Chordata; Lepidosauria; Squamata; Lacertidae. The record is from RNAcentral.
ACCUUAGAGACCAACUAAGUUUGUUCUGGGUAUAAGCUUUUGUGUGCAUGCACACGAAAGCUUAUACCCAGAACAAACAUAGUUGGUCUCUAAGGU